UACGUAGGGAGCAAGCGUUGUCCGGAUUCAUUGGGCGUAAAGGGCGCGCAGGCGGCCCGGCAAGUCGGAUGUGAAAACUCGAGGCUCAACCUCGAGCGUGCACCCGAUACUGCCGGGCUUGAGGCAGGUAGGGGAGAUCGGAAUUCCUGGUGUAGCGGUGAAAUGCGCAGAUAUCAGGAGGAACACCGGUGGCGAAGGCGGAUCUCUGGGCCUGUCCUGACGCUGAGGCGCGAAAGCUAGGGGAGCGAACAGG
This 253-nucleotide ribosomal RNA is filed under the name uncultured bacterium. Its description in RNAcentral is "partial 16S ribosomal RNA". It matches the Rfam family "Bacterial small subunit ribosomal RNA", at positions 524 to 776 of the family's 1533-position model. The record is from RNAcentral.